UACGGGGGGAGCAAGCGUUGUUCGGAUUUACUGGGCGUAAAGGGCGCGUAGGCGGCCACCGCAAGUCAGUUGUGAAAUCUCUGGGCUUAACCCAGAAAGGUCAACUGAUACUGCGGGGCUAGAGUGCAGAAGGGGCAACUGGAAUUCUCGGUGUAGCGGUGAAAUGCGUAGAUAUCAGGAGGAACACCGGUGGCGAAGGCGGCCCUCUGGACGGUGACUGACGCUGAGACGCGAAAGCGUGGGGAGCAAACAGG
RNAcentral lists this ribosomal RNA (254 nucleotides) under uncultured bacterium. RNAcentral describes it as "partial 16S ribosomal RNA". It matches the Rfam family "Bacterial small subunit ribosomal RNA", at positions 524 to 776 of the family's 1533-position model. The record is from RNAcentral.